Molecule: long non-coding RNA, 394 nt
Organism: Gopherus evgoodei (Goodes thornscrub tortoise)
Lineage: Eukaryota; Metazoa; Chordata; Testudines; Testudinidae
Exons: 3
Source: RefSeq, a predicted model, not a curated record
CCUGCUUCAGGGGGACUGGAGGCAGUGGCCAGUGGACUCAAUGCUGGUGACGAAGUGGUGGAUGAGGAAGUGGAGCUGGCAUAUAAUAUGGAGCAGAAAGCAAAGUCCAGGACCUCCAUGGUAGCAUUCUCUGAGAUGCUCCUAGUUGCACACACAGGGCCAUUUAGGCAGAACUGCAGAGUCUUCAUGCGUGGAUGAGAUGAUGGUACAGGGAGGAGAGGUUUAGAUUUAUUAGGAACUGGGGAAACUUUUGGGAAAGGGGAAACCUGUACAGGAAGGAUGGGCUACACCUAUACCAAAACGGAACCAGAUUGCUGGAACUUAACAUUAAAAAGGUCAUAGAGCAGUUUUUAAACUAAGGGCUGGAGGAAAGCUAACAGGUGAAGAGGAGAGA